UAGUUCUGUCAUCGCAAACUGCGCAUGCGUCAAUGUCAACGUCCAGGCGGGAAUCGCGGAAUUCAAAUUCAACGUCUUCCAGCGGGACCGCGAAGAGUUGAGGUGCAGAAAAAUCUUAAUGAAAGCAUUUGAAGAGCAGAAAGAAGAAUUGUAGCAGUUUUCACCUAAUUCAGGAGCACGAACUUGAGGGCCACACACACCAAAUUAUGAAGAUUUUAGUGAUUCACAAUCCCACAGCCGAGGAGGACCCAUCAGAUGUGUGGGUUGUUGUUGAGGGCAACAAAGUCCUUACUGGAUGUGGAAACAAAACCACAGCAUGCAUUCUGUUGAUGGGGUUGAUGUAUGCCCUCAACCUGGAAUACCCAAAAACCCUUAAAUACACUUUUGACAUGUUCCAAAAACUUUUUUGGAACUUGA
This is a long non-coding RNA of Sinocyclocheilus anshuiensis, 417 nucleotides long. RefSeq lists it as uncharacterized. Lineage: Eukaryota; Metazoa; Chordata; Actinopteri; Cypriniformes; Cyprinidae. The transcript is spliced from 3 exons. The record is from RefSeq and is a predicted model, not a curated record.